RNAcentral lists this ribosomal RNA (396 nucleotides) under uncultured bacterium. RNAcentral describes it as "bacterial SSU rRNA". It matches the Rfam family "Bacterial small subunit ribosomal RNA", at positions 1 to 375 of the family's 1533-position model. The record is from RNAcentral.
CCCUUAGAGUUUGAUCCUGGCUCAGGACGAACGCUGGCGGCGUGCCUAAUACAUGCAAGUCGAACGAAACUUUCUUACACCGAAUGAUUGCAUUCACCGUAAGAAGUUGAGUGGCGGACGGGUGAGUAACACGUGGGUAACCUGCCUAAAAGAAGGGGAUAACACUUGGAAACAGGUGCUAAUACCGUAUAUCUCUAAGGAUCGCAUGAUCUUUAGAUGAAAGAUGGUUCUGCUAUCGCUUUUAGAUGGACCCGCGGCGUAUUAACUAGUUGGUGGGGUAACGGCCUACCAAGGUGAUGAUACGUAGCCGAACUGAGAGGUUGAUCGGCCACAUUGGGACUGAGACACGGCCCAAACUCCUACGGGAGGCAGCAGUAGGGAAUCUUCCACAAUGGA